This 224-nucleotide non-coding RNA is filed under the name Brumicola pallidula. Lineage: Bacteria; Pseudomonadati; Pseudomonadota; Gammaproteobacteria; Alteromonadales; Alteromonadaceae. The record is from RNAcentral.
AUACUCCGACGCAUUCAAGGUGCUAUUUGUACUAAUGCAAAAAGUUAAACGGGAAACUGGUGUAAAUCCAGCGCUGCCCCCGCAACGGUAAACAUUGGAAGUUCGUAACACUUUCGCUUAUUAUUCAUCGAUAUCUGUAUCGGCGUCAUCCACUGUGUGCAAACAUGGGAAGGUUUUAAUAAGAAAAUGUAAGCCCGGAUACCGGCCUUGAAAGGUGCUGGCAA